UACGUAGGGUGCGAGCGUUGUCCGGAAUUAUUGGGCGUAAAGGGCUCGUAGGCGGUCCAUCGCGUCGGGAGUGAAAUCCCGAGGCUCAACCUCGGGUCUGCAGUCGAUACGAGCAAACUAGAGUGUUGCAGGGGAGACUGGAAUUCCUGGUGUAGCGGUGAAAUGCGCAGAUAUCAGGAGGAACACCGGUGGCGAAGGCGGGUCUCUGGGCAACAACUGACGCUGAGGAGCGAAAGCGUGGGGAGCGAACAGG
RNAcentral lists this ribosomal RNA (253 nucleotides) under uncultured bacterium. RNAcentral's name for it is "partial 16S ribosomal RNA". It matches the Rfam family "Bacterial small subunit ribosomal RNA", at positions 524 to 776 of the family's 1533-position model. The record is from RNAcentral.